UACGGGGGGAGCAAGCGUUGUUCGGAUUUACUGGGCGUAAAGGGCGCGUAGGCGGCGUGACAAGUCACUUGUGAAAUCUCCGGGCUUAACCCGGAAAGGUCAGCCGAUACUGCGGGGCUAGAGUGCAGAAGGGGCAACUGGAAUUCUCGGUGUAGCGGUGAAAUGCGUAGAUAUCGAGAGGAACACCUGCGGCGAAGGCGGGUUGCUGGGCUGACACUGACGCUGAGGCGCGAAAGCUAGGGGAGCGAACGGG
Molecule: ribosomal RNA, 253 nt
Filed under: uncultured bacterium
Lineage: Bacteria
Description: partial 16S ribosomal RNA
Rfam family: Bacterial small subunit ribosomal RNA
Source: RNAcentral